Acromyrmex echinatior (Panamanian leafcutter ant) is the source of this 539-nucleotide long non-coding RNA. RefSeq lists it as uncharacterized. The record is from RefSeq and is a predicted model, not a curated record. NCBI's taxonomy places the organism in Eukaryota, Metazoa, Arthropoda, Insecta, Hymenoptera, Formicidae.
AUUCAAUUUAUCAUGAAAUCCAUGAAUCUCGGUCGAUCUCAGGUACCUUUUGAAGCCAUCUGUUUCGUUGGAAGCAACGGAAAGAAGAUUAAGCAGAUUGAUAAAGAAUUAUUGCGAGCGAUACUCGAGGAUGAACCGUCCUUUUGCAUCGGGACUACGAUAUAUCGAUUCCUUCAUUGUUCACUCAGCCGGUGAACUCGUUUACAUUACACCAAACUCGUGAUGUCAUGCCGAGAAGUAGCGCCCAUAACAGCCGCAGCACACACGCUGGCUGUAUUGAGAGAGAACACGCGUCUCCAGCGCUUGUAUUACUAAGCUGUCGAUAUAUACUUACGCAAGCAACACGAGAUAUUCUUAGAACGCAGAACCCAUGGAAAUUUGAGGAAACGCGCUUUCAGAGCAAAAAGCUUCGUUUCAAAGGCGCGUCGCCUGGAGAAGUUAAGAAGAGCCGAACUCGUCGCCAAUCGAACUGCGGUCUACGAACGUUGAUUAUUUCUCCACUUUCCCUUCCAAAUAAUAAAUAAAUACAUAUUACUCAA